CGGACGGGUGAGUAACGCGUGGGUAACCUGCCCUGUACAGGGGGAUAACAGCUGGAAACGGCUGCUAAUACCGCAUAAGCGCACGAGGAGACAUCUCCUUGUGUGAAAAACUCCGGUGGUACAGGAUGGGCCCGCGUCUGAUUAGUUGGUUGGCAGGGUAACGGCCUACCAAGGCAACGAUCAGUAGCCGGUCUGAGAGGAUGAACGGCCACAUUGGAACUGAGACACGGUCCAAACUCCUACGGGAGGCAGCAGUGGGGAAUAUUGCACAAUGGGGGAAACCCUGAUGCAGCAACGCCGCGUGAGUGAAGAAGUAUUUCGGUAUGUAAAGCUCUAUCAGCAGGGAAGAUAAUGACGGUACCUGACUAAGAAGCUCCGGCUAAAUACGUGCCAGCAGCCGCGGUAAUACGUAUGGAGCAAGCGUUAUCCGGAUUUACUGGGUGUAAAGGGUGCGUAGGUGGCAGUGCAAGUCAGAUGUGAAAGGCCGGGGCUCAACCCCGGAGCUGCAUUUGAAACUGCAUAGCUAGAGUACAGGAGAGGCAGGCGGAAUUCCUAGUGUAGCGGUGAAAUGCGUAGAUAUUAGGAGGAACACCAGUGGCGAAGGCGGCCUGCUGGACUGUUACUGACACUGAGGCACGAAAGCGUGGGGAGCAAACAGGAU
This 661-nucleotide ribosomal RNA is filed under the name uncultured bacterium. Its description in RNAcentral is "bacterial SSU rRNA". It matches the Rfam family "Bacterial small subunit ribosomal RNA", at positions 99 to 778 of the family's 1533-position model. The record is from RNAcentral.